RNAcentral lists this ribosomal RNA (485 nucleotides) under uncultured bacterium. RNAcentral's name for it is "partial 16S ribosomal RNA". It matches the Rfam family "Bacterial small subunit ribosomal RNA", at positions 28 to 523 of the family's 1533-position model. The record is from RNAcentral.
GAUGAACGCUAGCGGCAGGCCUAAUACAUGCAAGUCGAACGGUGUCUUCGGACAUAGUGGCGCACUGGUGCGUAACACGUAUGCAACCUACCUUACAUUGGGGGAUAGCCUUUCGAAAGGGAGAUUAAUACCGCAUAAGACAGUAGCUGGGCAUCCAGCAGCUGUUAAAGAUUUAUCGAUGAAAGCUGGGCAUGCGUCCAAUUAGCUAGUUGGGGAGGUAACGGCUAACCAAGGCAAUGAUUGGUAGGGGAACUGAGAGGUCAAUCCCCCACACUGGCACUGAGAGACGGGCCAGACUCCUACGGGAGGCAGCAGUAGGGAAUAUUGGGCAAUGGACGCAAGUCUGACCCAGCCAUGCCGCGUGCAGGAUGAAGGCGUUAUGCGUUGUAAACUGCUUUUAUACAGGAAGAAACGACUCUUGCGAGAGGCAUUGACGGUACUGUAUGAAUAAGCACCGGCUAACUCCGUGCCAGCCGCCGCGGUAA